AAGACAGAGGGUGCAAACGUUGUUCGGAAUUACUGGGCGUAAAGCGAGUGUAGGCGGUUUGGUAAGUCGGAUGUGAAAGCCCCGGGCUCAACCCGGGAAGUGCACUCGAUACUGCCAAGCUAGAGUAUCGGAGAGGUUGGUGGAAUUCUCGGUGUAGAGGUGAGAUUCGUAGAUAUCGAGAGGAACACCGGUGGCGAAGGCGGCCAACUGGACGAAUACUGACGCUGAGACUCGAAAGCGUGGGGAGCAAACAG
This 254-nucleotide ribosomal RNA is filed under the name uncultured prokaryote. RNAcentral's name for it is "partial 16S ribosomal RNA". It matches the Rfam family "Bacterial small subunit ribosomal RNA", at positions 522 to 775 of the family's 1533-position model. The record is from RNAcentral.